UUAUCAUGGCUCAUGUAUAUCGCCCGUCAAGGACAAAUUCGAUUCAACUAAAUACGUCAUUCUCAUUUUAUUAGAAAAAUAGUUGAUAGGAAGUAGUGGGAAUAAGUGCUAGUUGCAGUAACUUGCAAUGGUGAUCGCCUCGUCCGUUGCAAUUGUUUCUCCGACGAACAGUGCCUUUGGGUUACUUUGUUAGGACAGUAGUCCACGGCUGGUAUUCCGCAGAGGGCGCAGUGUACUGAAUGCUUUCAUUGCACGGCUACCGUUGCCCAUAGAAAUACGCGUAACCAGAAAUUUAAUUUAAUUCUCCGAUUUUUUAGUUCUAUUUAGUUUAGUUUUGUUUUGUGCGAUGCGAUGAACUAUGUUUGUGGUUUAUGGAAGAUGACAAAAGUGAUGUUGUUGAAUGUAGUCACUUAAUUAAUUGUACAAUGUGCAGUGCUGUUCGUGUUUAAAUUAGCAACUUAAUUUCGUAAAUCUUAUCUUGUUGAAAACUGGCUGAUUCGUUGUUGUUAUUAAUAAACGAAAAAAGGCUGUGCGAAGUGUACCACGUCAGCUAGUAAAUAUUAUCCAAGUCUCCGCCUACUGCGUUGCUGUAUCAAAUACUCCCCAGUUCCAUCGGCAAUGAGAAUUCUAUUGCGAUUACCCGCGACAACGAGCAUUACGUAUUGUUUGUACUCCGCAAUAAAUAAACAUAAAAAAGCGUAUAAUUUAAUCCGGAUCAAAGCGAACGUGUGUCCAACCCGACUUAUGUUACAGUUUCUAUCGACGUGAUGUGUGAAUACAGUACAGUGCGCAUGUUGGAAAAUGUCGACAGUGUCCUGGGAACUCGACAAGUGUAACCAAUCCACGAUGAGCAAACCGAAUAUCGACGUAAUGUUUACUUGGUGGAACAUUUUCUCUUGCCUGCGGAGAGAAAAUGGUGGAAGGUGGUGCACGACGGUGGGAAAGUGAACACUUGUUGCAACAAGAGAUAGAAAUUUAAAAAAUCAAUGUUUGAAUACAAUUUAUUAUAUGCAUACAUGUGUGGUGAGUGGUUGUAAAUAAAUAAGAAUCUAUUUUGUUUGUAA
Long non-coding RNA from Dalotia coriaria, 1064 nucleotides. RefSeq lists it as uncharacterized. The transcript is spliced from 2 exons. NCBI's taxonomy places the organism in Eukaryota, Metazoa, Arthropoda, Insecta, Coleoptera, Staphylinidae. The record is from RefSeq and is a predicted model, not a curated record.